This is a non-coding RNA of Bos taurus (domestic cattle), 72 nucleotides long. Lineage: Eukaryota; Metazoa; Chordata; Mammalia; Artiodactyla; Bovidae. The record is from Rfam.
UCCCCUAUGGCUUAGCUGGUAAAGAAUCUGCCUGCAAUGCAGGAGAACCGGGUUCAAUCCCUGGGUUGGGAA